This 599-nucleotide long non-coding RNA is filed under the name Triticum aestivum (bread wheat). Its description in RNAcentral is "long non-coding RNA (TAES_LNC020412)". Lineage: Eukaryota; Viridiplantae; Streptophyta; Magnoliopsida; Poales; Poaceae. The record is from RNAcentral.
GCAGCUUCAAUACAGGCUUCCAGGGAUGCCCCCGCCGCCGCAAAACAUGAUGCCCCCACCGCAAAACAUGAUGCCGCCACCUCAUCACAUGGCCAGGCUGCCGCCGCCACCUCCCAAUAUGCAAGCUCCACCUAUGUGGAGGCCACCCCCAUCCCCACAACAAGGUGGUGGAAUGCCGCCACCUCCAAUGUCCAUGCCACCUCCUCCACCGCCACCUUCUGGUUAAAAAUAUAAAUGGGUGUCUUCCAUUGGGUUAAUUUGGCGCGCAGCAGUUGUAGACCAAGGGUGUUAAAAGUCUUUCAUAUAUUGUCAUGUAACUUGCAGCACUAGGAGAAUAUCAGAAUUGAGAGAAUUAGCGGACGGUGAUACAAAAUGCGUGACUUUUGUGAUUGCAUGUGCGGUACCUGCCUUGUGUGGGUGCUGCUGCUGUGUGCUCUGCUUAGGACAAUUAUGGACCGUGAUCUGUGCUAUCUCUUACAUUGUUAUUACUGGCAGAAUCGUGUUUUAAACAGGCCUCUCGUGAUUGACAGUUGUUGCGCAACUUUCAGCUGUUUUCAUGAAACAAGAUGCACCAUGCUGUUCUAAUUUUUCUAUCAAGU